Aegilops tauschii subsp. strangulata is the source of this 1808-nucleotide non-coding RNA. NCBI's taxonomy places the organism in Eukaryota, Viridiplantae, Streptophyta, Magnoliopsida, Poales, Poaceae. The record is from RefSeq and is a predicted model, not a curated record.
GCCUGCAGUCAGAUGAACAGGACAUCUUAGCAUCUUGAAUUCUUAACAUGUAUCCAAUAGAGUCAGUUCACAAAAAAAUGCAAAGUAGCAAAGUCUGUUCGACAUGUCUUUCUAUUUUCAUAUAUAUAGCAAGACUCAUAAAUCUGUAACAACCUGCCCUUAUGGACUGAAUUUCUGUACAAUGGGAACGGGCCUUUAGUAAUGUUGAUAUUUCACGUGAUCUGCUUGCAGAGUCAGUUUACAAGUUUUUGCGUGAUACCUGAGUCUGUUGGACAUGUCUUUUUUUAGUAGUUACAUAUGGGGACUCCACACAACAAGCCAGCGGAACAGACGACUUCAUCACAUGUACCUCCAGGUAUAUGUUCACCUAUAAAUUGUGCUACACAAGUCAAACAUAUAUAUGUUCAACUAUAUAUGUGUUGUAGGCCCGAUGGAGGGGACAAGUGUUGACGACUCUAACGAAGGGAUUAUACCCGUAGCCGAUGAUGUUGACAAAAUUUACCCAUGUAGUCCAGGUAUAAGGUUUAUUUUUAUCCUUUUUAGUUAAAAAAUCAUACCUAACAGACUUGGGCACACCCGAUUCUAAUGUAUCAACAUCUUUACUUCUAGGAGUCCAUAUUACUCCCUCCGAACGGAUGAUACUUGAGACCGAUGGUGAUAGCACAUAUGAUACUCCAGGUAUAUAUCUACCUCCUUGUAUAUGUUCAGCUACAUAUUUUGUUAUACAUGACAAACACCAUCACAGGAGAUGUUGCAGGCCCGAUGGAGGGGCCAAAUGGUGACGACUCUAAUGAAGGGGUUAUACCUGGAGCCGACGAUGUUCACAAGAAUUACCCAAGUAGUCCAGGUACUAAGGCUGUGCAUAUAUACUGAGAUUGCUUUUAUGCUUUUUAUGUGAUAAAUCAUACCUAACAGACUUGGGCAGAACCGAUUCUAAAAGAUCAAGCAUGUGACUUGUAGGAGUCCAUAUUACUCACUCGGACAGGACGAUACUUGAACAGGCCGAUUGUGAAAGGACAUAUGUUCAUCAACCUUCCCAUCUGAUUUCGGGUAAGUAUUAUGUUGCCGAAAGGUUAAGACCAUGUGCCUACAACUUUGCCUUGUUUCGGUCCAAUAUAUUGUUAUGUUAACAUGAUGCAGACAACCCUUCAAUCUCAUUCCUAUAUAAUGUAGAUUCGUUGCCAGCUCUCAGUUAUCUGACAAAAUAACUAGCUAGAAUGCAACGUGACAGUUGGCAAGAGAGGCCGCAUAAUGUUCCACGCCAUCUUCACAGUGAUAUCACUAAUGCAGAUCAACCAUCCUCUGUGGACCUUGACAAAAAAGAGAGUUGAUAAAAGCUCGGAGGCGAGCUGCUUAUAGAAAGAAAAAAGAGGAGGCUACUGUCAAGCAACAAGAGGAAAAUCUGUCUGCCCUUACGAUAUCAGAUAUGCUGAAUGUGGGUGGGUUACCUCUCGGUGAUAUCACUAAUGUGUGUCAACCAACCACGGUGGACCUUGACGAUAAAAAAGAGCAACUAAAGUCUCGGAGAAGAGCUGCUUAUCGAAAGAAAAAAGAGGAGGCAGCCAACAAGCAAAAAGAUGAAAAUCUGACUGCCCUUACGAUAUCAGGUAAGGAUGUUUAUGUUUCAGCAAUAUGAUGACCGUAUGUAUACUUUCUUAGUGAAUAAUGUAGGCGACAUAUGUUUCCUCACCCCAACCCCACGAAUAAUUGACCAAGAAUAGAGAAUAAAAAUAAUUGACCAAUAGUUGACCACUGUGUUAACAUACAAUUCCUGAUCAUUUAGCUAUACAUCAUUGUUUAACCUGACC